CAAGGUAAGCCGGGAGCUAAGGCGAGGCCGAGAGGCGUAGUCGAUGCACAUACGGUAAAGAUUCCGUAGCCACCGAAGUCGUUAAAUACAGGGACACAGGAACAUAGCCUAACCCCACCGUUGGUUGAGUGGGGCGUAAGGGAGCGAAAAAUAGUAGCGAAGUAGGUGAUUGUACACUGGCGAGAAAAGCUGUAUGUAUUGACAAGGUGCCCGUACCGCAAACCGACACAGGUAGAUGAGGAGAGAAUCCUAAGACCAGCGGGAGAAGUGUUGUUAAGGAACUCGGCAAAAUGACCCCGUAACUUCGGGAUAAGGGGAGCCUACGCGAGUAGGCCGCAGAGAAUAGUCUCAAGCGACUGUUUAGCAAAAACACAGGUCUAUGCUAAAUCGAAAGAUGAUGUAUAUGGGCUGACGCCUGCCCGGUGCUGGAAGGUUAAGGGGAAGUGUUAGAGCAAUCGAAGCACUGAACUUAAGCCCCAGUAAACGGCGGCCGUAACUAUAACGGUCCUAAGGUAGCGAAAUUCCUUGUCAGGUAAGUUCUGACCCGCACGAAUGGCGUAACGACUUGAGAGCUGUCUCAACAACAUACCCGGCGAAAUUGAAGUACUGGUAAAGAUGCCAGUUACCCGUGAUAAGACGGAAAGACCCCAUGGAGCUUUACUGUAACUUGAUAUUGAAUUUUUGUAUUACAUGUACAGGAUAGGUGGGAGACAGAGAACUAAUGCCGCCAGGUGUUAGGGAGUCGAUGUUGGGAUACCACUCUUGUAAUAUGAAGGUUCUAACCUGCACCCGUGAAUCCGGGUGGGGGACACUGUCAGGUGGACAGUUUGACUGGGGCGGUCGCCUCCUAAAAGGUAACGGAGGCGUUCAAAGGUUGGUUCAGCACGGACGGAAAUCGUGCAACGAGUGCAAACGCAUAAACCAGCCUAACUGCGAGACCGACAAGUCGAGCAGUAACGAAAGUUGGAGUUAGUGAUCCGGCGGUAUGAGAGUGGAAUUGCCGUCGCUCAACGGAUAAAAGCUACCCUGGGGAUAACAGGCUGAUCUCCCCCAAGAGUCCACAUCGACGGGGAGGUUUGGCACCUCGAUGUCGGCUCAUCGC
This 1102-nucleotide ribosomal RNA is filed under the name gut metagenome. Its description in RNAcentral is "bacterial LSU rRNA". It matches the Rfam family "Bacterial large subunit ribosomal RNA", at positions 1375 to 2543 of the family's 2925-position model. The record is from RNAcentral.